This 653-nucleotide unclassified non-coding RNA is filed under the name Zea mays. Its description in RNAcentral is "misc RNA Zm00001eb111580". Lineage: Eukaryota; Viridiplantae; Streptophyta; Magnoliopsida; Poales; Poaceae. The record is from RNAcentral.
CGUAGUCAAGCGUCACGGCGAUGACGAUCAGAUCAGAACCCGGCCCCAAGCUUGCGCUCAGUGGCGGCGGGGCACAUCACAUCCAUCCGGCCCAUGUGGUUCUCGUGGAGUCGUGGGCUUCUAUUAGCCAAUAUAGGUCUAGCCUGCUCCCAAAACUUAACAGUCCGUAUAUUCCGCUCAUAAUUCCUCACCGGCCUGCCUCAGAGAGAGAAAAAGCGGAGAUUAGCGGCGGCGAUGGCACUCCCGGCGUCGAGCUCCGGCCUCUUCCGCUUCGUCUCCCCGCGCAGCCGCCCCCAAUCCACCGACAUCGUGGCUGCCGCCUCCUGGGGAGUCUUCGCCGGCACCGCCGGCCUCUACCUCGUCCAGACAAAGAAGGGAAAAAGACUGGUGGAACAAGGAAGCCGCAGAAUUCGAAAGAUAACAAGUGAUAUCUACAGCAAGGCCCAUGGUUGGAAGCCGGUUGACAGGCGUCUCCAGUGACAUUUUGCUGCUGAUAAUACAUCUUUUGCUUCUGGAUGUAUUCAGUUUGUCUGCUUUUGGUAGAUAAAAACUAGCUUUUAGUCAUUUCUGGUGAUGCGAUGUUCCUGGCUGCUUUUGGGAUCUAUCCUUUGUAGAUAUUCAGUGAUGUCUGUUAGACUGUCGGACUUCUUCUG